RNAcentral lists this ribosomal RNA (774 nucleotides) under Leptogium furfuraceum. Its description in RNAcentral is "SSU rRNA". It matches the Rfam family "Bacterial small subunit ribosomal RNA", at positions 349 to 1194 of the family's 1533-position model. Lineage: Eukaryota; Fungi; Ascomycota; Lecanoromycetes; Peltigerales; Collemataceae. The record is from RNAcentral.
CAGCAGUGAGAAUAUUGGUCAAUAGCCUAACGGCUGAACCAGCAACUUGGAGGAAUGUAUAGCUAAAGCUAAUUGUAUUUUUUAAAAAAUACAGAUUCGAUUUAUUCGUAUAAAAUUCUAGGUAGAAUUAUGAUAAUGACAUUAUCUAUCUAUAAGUCUUGACCAACAUGCGUGCCAGCAGUCGCGGUAAGACGCUAAAGACUAGUGUUAUUCAUCUUUAAUAGGUUUAAAGGGUACCUAGACGGUAAAUAAAGCCUUAACCGGGACUAAUUUAACUAGAGUUAGAUGUAAGGGUGCAUUAACGUACUAUUGAGUGUAGAGAUGAAAUUCUUUGAUACCAGAUGACUGGCACGGGUUUAGGCGAAAGCAUCACCUUAUGUAAUAACUGACGUUGAGGGACGAAGGCUUUGUGUCGCGAACAGGAUUAGGUACCCCAGUAGUCUAAGCAGAAAAUGAUGAAUGUCAUAGGUUAAAUAUUAUUUAGUCUAUAAAUGAAAGUGUAAGCAUUCCACCUCAAGAGUAAUUUGGCAACAUUGGAAUUGAAAUCAUUAGACCGUUUCUGAAACCAGUAGUGAAGUAUGUUGUUUAAUUAGAUAAUACACAAAGAACCUUACCACAUUCUGAAUAUUUUACAAGUGUUGCACGGCUGUCUUCAGUUAAUGUCGUGAGAUUCUGGUUAGUUCCAUUAAUUAACGUAAACCCUUACUUUAUUUUAUUUUAUAUAAAGUUGUUCGCGUGAGAUUGGUUAGAUAAAAGGGAGUAAGACAAGUCAUC